AGCGAACGCUGGCGGCAGGCCUAAUACAUGCAAGUCGAGCGGGUCCUUCGGGAUUAGCGGCGGACGGGUGAGUAACGCGUGGGAACGUGCCCUUUGGUACGGAACAACUGAGGGAAACUUCAGCUAAUACCGUAUGUGCCCUUCGGGGAAAGAUUUAUCGCCAUUGGAGCGGCCCGCGUUGGAUUAGGUAGUUGGUGAGGUAAAGGCUCACCAAGCCUACGAUCCAUAGCUGGUCUGAGAGGAUGACCAGCCACACUGGGACUGAGACACGGCCCAGACUCCUACGGGAGGCAGCAGUAGGGAAUCUUGCGCAAUGGGCGAAAGCCUGACGCAGCCAUGCCGCGUGAAUGAUGAAGGUCUUAGGAUUGUAAAAAUUCUUUCUACCGGGGACGAUAAUGACGGUACCCGGAGAAGAAGCCCCGGCUAACUUCGUGCCAGCAGCCGCGGUAAU
This 451-nucleotide ribosomal RNA is filed under the name uncultured bacterium. RNAcentral describes it as "bacterial SSU rRNA". It matches the Rfam family "Bacterial small subunit ribosomal RNA", at positions 29 to 524 of the family's 1533-position model. The record is from RNAcentral.